This 300-nucleotide ribosomal RNA is filed under the name Triticum aestivum (bread wheat). RNAcentral describes it as "partial small subunit ribosomal RNA". The record is from RNAcentral. Lineage: Eukaryota; Viridiplantae; Streptophyta; Magnoliopsida; Poales; Poaceae.
AUGAUCUGUGCAUCUGAUGCCUCAUUUCCUAACAGAGAAAUACCUGCUCUGUUCACAGAGACAUUUCUUCAUGCCUAUCCACUGGGAAGCGUCUAUUGGCACCAUCAUCACAUAGGAAUCCAGUCUGUUACAAUUUCUGUGUUUAGAACUACACCUUUGAACAGUGCCCCCACAUGUGUGAUCAGUGCAUCUGAUUCCUCAUGGGGACUAUACGUAUAUACGGUACAAGUGGCUGGACAUAAACUGCACAAGUGGUGUGUGGCCUUGCAGCCUCCACAGAUUCUUGUUCAACGCACCUGA